RNAcentral lists this unclassified non-coding RNA (197 nucleotides) under uncultured Trechisporales. RNAcentral's name for it is "sequence contains ITS1". The record is from RNAcentral. Lineage: Eukaryota; Fungi; Basidiomycota; Agaricomycetes; Trechisporales.
UCGUAUCUCCGAGGAGGGGUGCGGUCGCGCCCCGCUCCGGCCCAACCGGCCGUGCAGCGGGCCGCCGCCCUCGACUCGCAACCCAACAAACCCUGUGCUCCUUCACGGCCAGAGGGGGCGUCCCCCCCGAAGCCGCAUUAAACAAACCCCAGUUCAAAAGAAUGUCAAACGGACUCUGUGCCGUCUACAAACUGAAA